Molecule: ribosomal RNA, 497 nt
Filed under: uncultured bacterium
Lineage: Bacteria
Description: partial 16S ribosomal RNA
Rfam family: Bacterial small subunit ribosomal RNA
Source: RNAcentral
GAUGAACGCUGGCGGCGUGCCUAAUACAUGCAAGUCGAGCGAACGGACGAGAAGCUUGCUCCUCUGAUGUUAGCGGCGGACGGGUGAGUAACACGUGGAUAACCUACCUAUAAGACUGGGAUAACUUCGGGAAACCGUAGCUAAUACCGGAUAAUAUUUUGAACCGCAUGGUUCAAAAGUGAAAGACGGUUUUGCUGUCACUUAUAGAUGGAUCCGCGCUGCAUUAGCUAGUUGGUAAGGUAACGGCUUACCAAGGCAACGAUGCAUAGCCGACCUGAGAGGGUGAUCGGCCACACUGGAACUGAGACACGGUCCAGACUCCUACGGGAGGCAGCAGUAGGGAAUCUUCCGCAAUGGGCGAAAGCCUGACGGAGCAACGCCGCGUGAGUGAUGAAGGUCUUCGGAUCGUAAAACUCUGUUAUUAGGGAAGAACAUAUGUGUAAGUAACUGUGCACAUCUUGACGGUACCUAAUCAGAAAGCCACGGCUAACUACGUG